RNAcentral lists this ribosomal RNA (429 nucleotides) under Bacteroidota bacterium. Its description in RNAcentral is "Bacteroidetes bacterium partial 16S ribosomal RNA". It matches the Rfam family "Bacterial small subunit ribosomal RNA", at positions 355 to 776 of the family's 1533-position model. Lineage: Bacteria; Pseudomonadati; Bacteroidota. The record is from RNAcentral.
UAGGGAAUCUUCGGCAAUGGGGGGAACCCUGACCGAGCAACGCCGCGUGAGUGAAGAAGGUUUUCGGAUCGUAAAGCUCUGUUGUUAAGGAAGAACGAGUGUGAGAAUGGAAAGUUCAUACUGUGACGGUACUUAACCAGAAAGGGACGGCUAACUACGUGCCAGCAGCCGCGGUAAUACGUAGGUCCCGAGCGUUGUCCGGAUUUAUUGGGCGUAAAGCGAGCGCAGGCGGUUAGAUAAGUCUGAAGUUAAAGGCAGUGGCUCAACCAUUGUAGGCUUUGGAAACUGUUUAACUUGAGUGCAGAAGGGGAGAGUGGAAUUCCAUGUGUAGCGGUGAAAUGCGUAGAUAUAUGGAGGAACACCGGUGGCGAAAGCGGCUCUCUAGUCUGUAACUGACGCUGAGGCUCGAAAGCGUGGGGAGCGAACAGG